RNAcentral lists this ribosomal RNA (440 nucleotides) under uncultured bacterium. Its description in RNAcentral is "partial 16S ribosomal RNA". It matches the Rfam family "Bacterial small subunit ribosomal RNA", at positions 338 to 795 of the family's 1533-position model. The record is from RNAcentral.
CCUACGGGAGGCAGCAGUGGGGAAUAUUGCACAAUGGGGGAAACCCUGAUGCAGCGACGCCGCGUGAGUGAAGAAGUAUUUCGGUACGUAAAGCUCUAUCAGCAGGGAAGAAAAUGACGGUACCUGACUAAGAAGCCCCGGCUAACUACGUGCCAGCAGCCGCGGUAAUACGUAGGGGGCAAGCGUUAUCCGGAUUUACUGGGUGUAAAGGGAGCGUAGACGGCAGCGCAAGUCUGGAGUGAAAUCCCAUGGCUUAACCAUGGAACUGCUUUGGAAACUGUGCAGCUAGAGUGCAGGAGAGGUAAGCGGAAUUCCUAGUGUAGCGGUGAAAUGCGUAGAUAUUAGGAGGAACACCAGUGGCGAAGGCGGCUUACUGGACCGUAACUGACGUUGAGGCUCGAAAGCGUGGGGAGCAAACAGGAUUAGAUACCCCUGUAGUC